UCUCUGAUAGCUCAGUUAGUAGAGCAUGAGGCUGUUAACAUCAGGGUUGUGGGUUUGAGCCCCAUGUUGGGCA
Molecule: non-coding RNA, 73 nt
Organism: Podarcis lilfordi (Lilford's wall lizard)
Lineage: Eukaryota; Metazoa; Chordata; Lepidosauria; Squamata; Lacertidae
Source: the annotation of a GenBank genome assembly